AGAACAUUGAGAGAGAGAGGUCUUGAGCUCACAUAGAAUUCCGUACACCGAGAUUUCUCAGAAAGUGUUUCUUUAGCUCUCUCCCUUACCUGUGUCCUUAGUAAAUUCCCACACUUCUCCUGACCAUUGGAGUAGAUCUCAGUCCACACAUUCUGUCCUGAGGGACAGACCAACUAUUCACUUGACACAUGAAGCGGUGACUGGGAUGUACCUAUUUUCAAGGAGGCAUUUGAUGGUAACUUCCAGAAACUACAUCCAAAGUUGAUAUCAUGCGGUGACUUUUCUCAGAGUCCAUGAUUUCCAAGAGAUGUUGAUGACUCCUCCAGUUCUUCUAAAAUCCACAAAGGCCGCCCUGUGAGACCCAGCACAACGUUUUCUAAAGAAGACUCGAAUACUGACCACUUACCUUGGGCAAGAAGACUUGACCUUUGCGAGGUUGUUCUGUGCUGAAGAGCCUGCUGAGGGGAGAAGCGUGAGAGGGAGACAGCCUCUCAGACCGGAUGGAGACAGUAGGAACGUGGGAGAAUACAUACAGACAUAGUGAUUAAGAAAUCUAUUUAAGCUGUUAUGUCAGUAUUUACAAUUGAAAUUUGAUAGUUCAAUUUUCUGUUGUUGUCAAAGUACAUAUACUGUAAGUUAAAGGGAGCUGAAUGAAAAUUCAUGAAUAAACAUUUUGAG
This is a non-coding RNA of Equus caballus (horse), 678 nucleotides long. The record is from RefSeq and is a predicted model, not a curated record. Lineage: Eukaryota; Metazoa; Chordata; Mammalia; Perissodactyla; Equidae.